AGAAAAGGAAAUAAAGCUAUAAAAAAUGAUCAACCGCCACGAAGUAAACUCCAGGCGAGACUAAAUGUAAAAAAAUCUGUAAAGACUCUCAACCGCCAUGAAGUAAACUCCAGGCGGGACUAAAUGUAAAUAAAGCAGUAAAAGGCCACGAAGCAAACUCCAGGCCUGACAAAAAUGUAAAUAUAUAUACAUAUAUAUAAAAGCGAUAAAUUCA
RNAcentral lists this long non-coding RNA (214 nucleotides) under Panax ginseng (ginseng). RNAcentral describes it as "long non-coding RNA (PGIN_LNC004375)". The record is from RNAcentral. Lineage: Eukaryota; Viridiplantae; Streptophyta; Magnoliopsida; Apiales; Araliaceae.